Molecule: long non-coding RNA, 1403 nt
Filed under: Chloebia gouldiae (Gouldian finch)
Lineage: Eukaryota; Metazoa; Chordata; Aves; Passeriformes; Passeridae
Description: Erythrura gouldiae (Gouldian finch) lncRNA (ENSEGOG00005008129.1)
Source: RNAcentral
CAAAUAAGGAGAAGGUGCCCCCACGAUUCCUCCGCGCCGGGGCAGAGGCCCAAAGUCCCCCCAAACCAGCAGAAUCGGGGCUUUUGUAGACCUUUUUGCUUAUUUUCAUUGUUUUCCGAAGUUUUCUUAGGGAAAACCCCGUCCUUGCUAUGGGCUGGAGGAGCCGGUGGUGUCCCCGUCCUGGGCCCACCGCAGGAGGCGUGGCCGGAGCAGCUUCCUUCACUGCCUCCAAAAUCCCCCAUCUUCCAACAGACCCAUGUGGACAUCAUAAAAACGUCACCCAAGGAUGUUAUGGCCCAAAUCCUCAGCCCAUUUUAGAAAUAAACCCUGGCCUCUGUUCACAGCAGUUUUUGCUGUGAAAAGACUAAUUUCUCAUUUAAAAUCAGGAAGGACAGUUGUGUCUGCAAUUCUGAUUUCCUCCACAGCAGAAUGACUUUGUUUGGAUCAAACCUGGAUGUCUGCUGAAUACAAAGCACCUUUAUUAGAAAGAUUUCAAGGCUUCACUGAGAGAUUUUGAAAUGGUGACUCCCACGCUCCUGAGGAAAUUUUUGCUACCUUCCAUCCACAAACAGACAUUGCGUUCCCAUUUGCAAUGAGGCAGCAGGCUGCUCACUUCUAUCUGGUGGAUGUCAUCACACCUGUGUUUGCCUUAUUAAGCUUCAAUCCUCAGCUCUCAGGUGUCUCAAUGUCUGCAGAAAGUACCAGGAGCUCACAUGGCUUCCAAAAACUCCCAAAACUGGGGAAUGAAAAUGAAGCAACUUGUAAAAACUUCUUGAAUGAGCAAAUAUCAACAAGUUAGACUCAUUUAGACAAGGGGUAGGGAUAAAUGGGAUAUUGAGAAGAAAUUCUUCCCUGUGAGGCUGUUGAGGCCCUGGAACAGGUUACCCAGAGAACAUGUGGCUGCCCCAUUCCUGGAAGUGUCCAAGGCCAUGCUGAAUGAGACUUGGAGCAAACUGGGAUAGUGGAAGGUGUCCCCACCCAUGGCAGGGGGUGGCUCAAGAAGAGCUUUAAGAUCCUUUCCAAGCUAAACCAUUCCAUGAUGCUAUGAUUCUGUCUCAGGUUGGUGCUGGAUCAUUUCUAGAGACAUUCAAAGUGCUGUAGUCAAAUAUUUCCCUAAGUACUCACACCAAACUUCCAACUCUUAGGUCUUCCUGAUUAUUUUGAAAACUAAUUAUUUUGAUUAUUUUGAAAUCUAAGAAAAAAUAUCAGCUCCUGUCAGAGAAGGGGUAGAGGAGUCUUGUUUUUAAACAAAGACCAGGAGGUUGUGAAAACACUUUGUUUUCCUCUAGACCAAAAUAUUUUCUGCUUGCUUCAGAAGGAUCUACUUAAAAAGAAAGUCUUUAAAAAUUUUCUUUUCUAGCUGAAAAGAGGUGUCAGGAAAUAAAGCAGCUUCUGCAUUUGCA